GACGAACGCUGGCGGUGUGCUUCACACAUGCAAGUCGAACGAGGUAGCAAUACCUAGUGGCGGACGGGUGAGUAACGCGUGGGAAUCUGCCUUUAGAUGGGGGAUAACGGGCCGAAAGGUCCGCUAAUACCGCAUAUGCCGCGAGGUGAAAGGAGUAAUCCGUCUAAAGAUGAGCCCGCGUCCGAUUAGCUAGUUGGUAGAGUAAGAGCCUACCAAGGCGACGAUCGGUAGCUGGUCUGAGAGGAUGAUCAGCCACAAUGGGACUGAGAAACGGCCCAUACUCCUACGGGAGGCAGCAGUGGGGAAUUUUACGCAAUGGGGGAAACCCUGACGUAGCGACACCGCGUGAGCGAAGAAGCCCUUUGGGGUGUAAAGCUCUGUCAGCUGGAACGAAAACAAUGACGGUACCAGCAGAGGAAGCAUCGGCUAACUACGUGCCAGCCGCCGCAGUAA
This 453-nucleotide ribosomal RNA is filed under the name uncultured bacterium. RNAcentral describes it as "partial 16S ribosomal RNA". It matches the Rfam family "Bacterial small subunit ribosomal RNA", at positions 28 to 523 of the family's 1533-position model. The record is from RNAcentral.